GAUGAACGCUGGCGGCGUGCCUAACACAUGCAAGUCGAGCGGCAGCGAGGGGUGCUUGCACCCUGUCGGCGAGCGGCGGACGGCUGAGUAACGCGUGGGAACGUGCCCCAAAGUGAGGAAUAACUGCCCGAAAGGGUAGCUAAUACCGCAUAUUAUCUUCGGAUCAAAGGAUUUAUCCGCUUUGGGAGCGGCUCGCGUCGGAUUAGGUAGUUGGUGAGGUAAUGGCUCACCAAGCCGACGAUCCGUAGCUGGUCUGAGAGGAUGACCAGCCAGACUGGAACUGAGACACGGUCCAGACUCCUACGGGAGGCAGCAGUGAGGAAUCUUCCACAAUGAGCGAAAGCCUGAUGGAGCAACGCCGCGUGCAGGACGAAGGCCUUCGGGUUGUAAACUGCUUUUAUAAGUGAGGAAUAUGACGGUAACUUAUGAAUAAGGAUCGGCUAACUACGUG
RNAcentral lists this ribosomal RNA (451 nucleotides) under uncultured bacterium. Its description in RNAcentral is "partial 16S ribosomal RNA". It matches the Rfam family "Bacterial small subunit ribosomal RNA", at positions 28 to 507 of the family's 1533-position model. The record is from RNAcentral.